CUUAACCACAGUGUUCGCUGGACUCAGGAGCACUCCUUAUACGAAUUUCACUGUAACAGCCAUAGACUGUGCCAGUGCAGACUGGAAAGUUACCAACUCAUCAAUCAAAGCAAAGAUUGAAGGCUUGUUCUCGAACGGAAGCGCCUAUAAUGGAUCUAACGUUCAUGUCAGUGAUGGACGUGAAAAUGUGUCGUUUACUGGACUUUACCCUGGUGCCACCUAUAACAUCUCUCUUGUCUAUGAAAAGUCUUCCAGAGUUUUCCUGCAGUGUGAACACAAAUUAACAAUUCUUCCUCCUAAUCUAAAUGCUCACUG
Long non-coding RNA from Astatotilapia calliptera (eastern happy), 315 nucleotides. The record is from Ensembl. NCBI's taxonomy places the organism in Eukaryota, Metazoa, Chordata, Actinopteri, Cichliformes, Cichlidae.